This 253-nucleotide ribosomal RNA is filed under the name uncultured bacterium. RNAcentral describes it as "partial 16S ribosomal RNA". It matches the Rfam family "Bacterial small subunit ribosomal RNA", at positions 524 to 776 of the family's 1533-position model. The record is from RNAcentral.
UACGUAGGUGGCAAGCGUUGUCCGGAUUUAUUGGGUUUAAAGGGUGCGUAGGCGGCCCUGUAAGUCAGUGCUGAAAUAUCCCGGCUUAACCGGGAGGGUGGCAUUGAUACUGCAGGGCUUGAGUGAAGUCGAGGUAGGCGGAAUUGACGGUGUAGCGGUGAAAUGCUUAGAUAUCGUCAAGAACACCUAUAGCGAAGGCAGCUUACUAGGCUGUAACUGACGCUGAGGCACGAAAGUGUGGGGAUCAAACAGG